This is a long non-coding RNA of Apis florea (little honeybee), 7877 nucleotides long. The record is from RefSeq and is a predicted model, not a curated record. NCBI's taxonomy places the organism in Eukaryota, Metazoa, Arthropoda, Insecta, Hymenoptera, Apidae.
CUACUUCCUGACAUUCCUCGUUGCUCACAGAGACUGACGUAAUCGAUGCGUAGCACGCGCGAGCGCAGCGUAGACCGACGUUUCGCUGGACAUUUACUGCACGCUCGUCGAUCGUGGUUCGUAACAUUUCUAUUAUUAUCUUCGUUCCAUCGUGGGCGACCCUGUGGAACCGGCGAGAACUUUCUGUCCAUCCCGAGAAUCGAAUCGCGUGUGAAGAGAGCACGUAAAUAACUCUUAAUAAAACGCGUUUACGCGGCACGCGAAUCUUCUUAUAAAUUUCUUAUCGAAAAUCUGUGAUCUCGAGGACGAGUCGUAUUCUCGUGCCGAGUCGAUGCGUUAAAAAAAAUUGAUCAUCGAUGUACUUGGAAGAUCGGGUUUGUUUUUUUUUUUUUUAGUUUUGGCAUCGAUUGUCAUUGUGUCGAUUAUCGAAUUAUUAUCGAUGGUCGAUCGUUGGUUCCAACCGCGCGCCCACGAUUAAUCGUAGAGAUUAAAAAGGAUGAACGGCUUGGUGAUAUUAUCCGGAAGACAAGAAGAUAACUCUCAUUGUUGUAAAAGUACAAAUGCCACGGGACGGCCGCGCGAGUAGCUUUAAAUACUCUCGUGCGCAUUUCGGUUAUAUAUUACUGCCCAUGUUGCGCCAAUAAAAACGUUAAAAAACUAUAUAUACGACGAAGGAAGCUUGUUGGAAUGUGAAACGAAUAAAUCGUUGAUAACAAGCGAGGACGUAGUCCCUCGGUGUACCUCUGAAACCCCGGGUAUCAGAAGGGAAAGUGUGGGGAACCGCGUGCCAAGAGGAAAGAGUAUGAAACGUGACGAGUAUGAAAGUAGAAGUUAAUGUCUCGUGGAAGAGGAGGAGGAAAGCGUUAAGAACAGUGGUGGAUCUGGAUGUUUCAUCCCCUUUCCCUUUUGGCGAGUGAUACGAUCGUCGAUAGUCAAAGCUGCUCAAUUUAGCGCACAUAAUAGAUGUUAUUCGAUGGUAGACAGACUCGAACAGAGUCGAAGAGACGCACAACACGCGACGAGGAUUAAUUCUCGUUCGAGGACGAACUUGUUGGAUCUCGUUUUCGCGUAUGAAAGUCGCGAGCAAACCCUGUCCCGUUCUUUUCAAAGACGAAAAAGCCGCUUAACAGACUAGGAAAGAGAGAGAGAGAGGAGAGGAGAGAGAGAGAGAGAGAGAAAGAAGAAGGAUGAACGAAAAACGCAAGGGAAGCUAUUCGUCACCCUCGAAUUUUUCUGUCUCGAAAUAAAUACCGUUGUCUUUUGAUUGUCGUUUUAAAUGGACAAAAAAACCAUAAACUAUGAAUGAUUUUGUAACCUAAGGAAAUAUAAGUUGCUCUUAAAUCUGACACGGACAUGACUUCUUUCACCCGCAAUUUUCUCGAUGACACGCUUACGUUACUCACUACGAGCCUUCUUCAUUUCAUCCAAUCGUCUCUGUUCGCAAUUCCGUUCCUUUCUUUCACUUUUUCUUUUUCUUUUUUUUUUUUUUUUUUUUCUUUAAAUCGAAUUAUCAAGACGAAAAAAACAAACACUUCCUUUUUUUGACGAUCGAGAAAAGAGAUACGAUUCAUUCGAUUUCUCUUGUAUUUCGUUCGACACGUGUUUAAUAACGGUGCAAUCUGAUAUCAUGAUGUAAAUCAUUGUAAUGUGAUACGCGAUGUAAUGCUGAAUUUAAUAGAACAAGCAGAUCGGGAACUAUCGGAACCAAUUUUGAUAGAUAUCGGCGGUGGUUUAUCACUAAAAGAAACAUCGAUAAACAUCGAUUCCGUUGAACGUUUAUAUAUAUAUAUAUAUAUAUAUAUUUUUUUUUUAUACAAAAUUUUCAUUCUAGAAUCUAUUUAUUUAACAUUAUAUUUUUUUCGUUGAAAAGAAUUUUCUCCGCAUGUUCUCGUAUGUACACGAUCAAUUCAACGUCGAUCCAAGUUCCAUUCAAUAUUUUAAUCGAAUCAAGUUUCCGAUUUAAGUGUUUCUCUCAGUGUCCGACCCCCACCGAUGUUGCUUAUAUAAUUAGAUUUUGUCUGAAAACGAGUUCAGUAUUGGUGUGUUUUAGCACCAAUGGAACCAAAAGGAAUGACAGGAAAGCUUGAAGGAUUAUGAGGGAAUGAAACGGCGUUCUUUUCAAGAACAAAGUUAUUACGUUCUGGUGUUCUUCUCUAUCAUUCAUAACUUUCUUCGUGAUUCUCAUUCUAUCGUGAUAAAAUUAAACGUAUGUCGCUAAGAAAAAGAAAAAAAAAAAAAUAAAAAAUAAAAAAAAGAGAGAGAGCGAAACAAACAGAGAGCUUCGUUGAACAAUGCCUAGCUAUCAUCGUCGAAAUUAAUAAUUGUUGAACGAACCGAGAGGAAAGUCUGAUGGAAGUGUGUUUAACAUCUGUUUAAUCAGAUCGAGACGGGAUUAAAGGGUUGAAGAGAUACGAGAGAGCGAGAUAGGUAAAGAGAAUGAAAGUGAGGUCUGUCGAAAUGAAGUAUGGAAGGAAAAAAAAAAAGGAGCAAAAAAAAAAUAAAUAAAUAAAUAAAUAAUAAUAAUAAUAAUAAUAAUAAUAAUAAUAAUAAUAAUGAAAAACAUGAAUUAUAAUAGAGUAAUGUAUUUUAUGACGGGUUUUAAUAGCGGUAUUAAUACGAUAUUAAUAGCGAUAUUUAGCCGUAACUGAUAAUAAAGACACUAUUUGAAUGUGAAAUUAUUAGACGAUAAUGAGACACAGGAUGUAACACACAGUGGUAUAAACUGUAUGGUAAAACUACUAUAAGAUUAAUAAACGAUUAGGCAUUAGAUCGUCGAAAUGGGAAAGAAAAUGGACGAGAACAAGUAAGAUAUUAAGAUAACGAGGGGAAGAGAAAAACGAAUAUUGAAACGAAUAAUGAAAAUCCAAGGACUUUUUUUUACCAAAGAAUUUUUUCACAAAGAGAUUUCGAUACACGCGUGCACGCGUUUUCCUUCACUUGUUUCUGUUUUAUUAUAUAUACGUACAAUGGGAUUAAAUCACUCGAGCGAGAAUUCCGAUUCGACUUGAACACGAAAUUUAAUCCUUAUGCCAAUAAAAUACGAUAAUAACUUAGCAUCGCGUACCAUUAUUAGAAAGAAGAAGGGAAGAACAUUUAUAAAUAAACCCCGUAAACUUCGAUGCAAUUAAGGUACUAUAUCUCCUAAUUUUCUCUUUUCUGAAAAAAAAGUCAAGUGAUCGGGGAGUUUGUUAGCAAGGGAUUAAACUUCGAUGAUUCUCGCCAAAGUUUUUGAUGCUUCCAGUAAUUAUGGAACGAUUCCAGAAUAAAAAUACUGUCGAAUUUACGGGAACGUUCUCCGCUAAAGAACAAAUUUAAAUAUAAAUGUUAAAUGUAAUAUCAUCGAACAUUCCGCAAGAUGGACUGCAUGAAAUCAUACGUGAUAAUAAUUUGCGAACGUAUAUAAGAUAUAUGUAUUGUAGCGAUUAAAUGUCGCCAGAGAUGGAAUUAUAAGAAAAAAAAAAAAAAAAAAAAAAGGGGGAAUACCAAAAAUUCGUACGCUUUACAUCCAGCGGUGAACGCGAGAAUCGUGAUAGAUCGAUUAUCGAUGGGACGAUUUACAAUUUAAAAAAAAAAAAAAGUAUAUAGCGAUUAUUUAUUAUUAAACAAAUGUUUAGGGUGGGAUGGAGGGGUGGUCGAGGGAAAUCUGUGGGUGUAGACAAAGUAAGACUGAUUUGUGAAAGGAUUGAUUGCUUGAUUCGAGUAUCGUUUUUCGAUCGGUUGAUAGUUUAUGAACAUGGAAAUAUCAUCGUUUAUGUUAUGUUACAAAUUAUCCAAUUAACGUAAGAUUACACAAAAAACAUGAAAUUUUCUGCUUGAGAAACGAUACGUGAAUUUAAUAUAGAUGAAAUUUAACGACAAAACUUUUACUCAAAUAAAAUAAAAUCUAAAACUGAAUCCUGUUUAUACUAGGAUCGAUCGAACAAUCUUCGAGUCAAGUUGACGAAUAGAAAAACUUCUAAGAAGUGAAAAAUCUUUUUACUAAGAACUUCAUUCCAUGUCUAAUAUUGCAUGGGCUUGUACUAUUUUCCAAUCGAAUGGCUCUCAAUUGAGUUGCUGAGUGAAUAGAAAACAGAAAAUUUUCUAAAAAGAAAAGAGUCCUUUUCUUCUUUUCGAGGAGAAAAGAGAAAAUAAUAAGAAAAAAAAAAAAAAAUACUUUUUUUGCAGAGAUGCUAUUUUCUCUGCUAGGAAGUUUGGCCUGCGUCUGAUCACGCACGGACUAUAACUACUGUCGGUCGUGCACAGGCCUAACGUUCACGCAUCGACCAAGCAUCGGAACACUGAGCUUCUUCCUCUUUCUAAUUACCUCGUUAAUUGCUAGACACUUGAUUAUCCACUUCGAUAAUUCUACGUUAGCGAGCAAGUUAUGCUUGUUUUACGUUAGAGAAUCGAAAUAACCUUUAUAUGUAUAUCGUUGAUCACUUCGAUCGCGAAUGACACGAACAUUCACGUUCAUUGUUAAAUAACGACUGGUGCUUUGAUCGCAGCAUAUCGAGACUAGAAUCGAGAAGGCAAUUGGGGGAAAAAAAAGAAGAGAGAGAGAGAGAGAAAAAAUAGGAAUCAAAAGGUUUCUUUUCAAGCUUUCACAAGUUUGUGGGUGACAGUCGUCGUAGAGAAUAUUUUCUUUCGUAACGUUCAAUCUUUAUAAUAAAGAGCAUCUAUGAUCAUCACCGGACUCCUGAUGAAAUUAUUCCACGAAGAAUCAAUUUCGCAGGCUGUCAUCACCGCGAAGGAUACCGUGUAAUCACUGUUACCAUCGAUCCAUCGUAUAUCGAUAUAUCGACAUGUUUUUGAAUCCGAUCGAUACGUCGAUCUAACGAUUGAUCGAUCUUGUUGGAAACGUUGCGCCAGCAAAUCAUUUAACCUCUUAAAGAGUAGAAUCUUCAAUUAACUAAGCGCUCUCGAAUUAUAAAAUGGAUGAUUUGUUUGUCGAGUGUUUCGCGGGAUAUACUUUCUUCGUAUACCUUCUCUAAUAGGGCCGAGCAUGGUUUUAUUUAAAGUUCGUCUAGGUGCGAAACGUUGAAUAAAUCUAAAACCUAUAUAAGUAUAAUCUGUAUUUAAUUAUCGUCAUUUAUCAUAUUACUGUGUACUUAUCGCAUGAUUAUUACUUACAUGUAUUAUUUAUACAACUACAGGUAGAAAUUCCCAUUAUGAAGUAUUAUGUGGAGGUUAGAUAUAUCUAUAUAUACAUUAUAUUAUAUUAUAUUAUAUUAUAUUACAUUAUAUUAUAUUGUAUUUACAUUAUAUUAUAUUAUACACAUAUAUUUCUCACGUGGAAAUUUUUCAAGCAUCUCAAUACAACACCGCGACGGCUAUUGUUGUGCAAUAAGUAUAUAUGGGCGUGCUUUUUAAGAGGUUAAUCGGGAUACCGAUUUAAUAUUACGUAGUACAGAGCAAAAAAGCUUCCUCUACAUAUACAUAUACAACACGUACAUAUACAUACAUACAUACAUACGUAUACAUUACAUACACACAUAUGCGCAUACGCGAGUCCGUCUGUAAUAGUUUCAAGUUUCAAAACCUCGAAUUACAAUUAAAAUUAGUAUAGUAUUAUGAUAAUUUGUGACAUUGUGCUCUAUUAUUAUCUAGAUAUAUUCGUUUAAAUGUUUAUGCGUAUAUUUAAAAAAGUCGAGUAUUAUGCGUAAGUAGUUUGAUUGUAUGUUCUUGUAUGUACUUUUUCCAUUUAAUUCUAUGUUAUAACUAUAUAAUAUUGAUCUUUUCGUCUUUGCGUACGUGUAAUCAUGAUUUAUCAAAUGCGAAUUCGAGGUUUAUUCGAUCUAAGGAAAAAGAAAGGGGAAAAAAAAAAAAAAAAAAAAAAAAAAGAAAAAAAAAAAUGUAACCGGCCAAGCGAAGCAAAUUGAAACACACAAACUUCCUUCAUCGAUGAAUACACGUAUACGUAUCUUACGUGCGGAUGAUCGAUCCGCAUAAGGGAACAGAAUUCAUUUUUCCGAGGAAACAACGAUGGGAUGUUCGUUCCUAAUGGGUUCCGUCGAGCAUUCUUCGUCGUCGCCUCACAAAAUCACUUUAGGGCAACGAACUAGAAAUGUGUUGAAUAUUUACACGAAUUUACAAGAAUCUUACUAAUGUACUUUUUCUAUAAUCAUACGCGAGACAGAAAUUACAAAUAUGCACAUGUAGGUGCGUAUCACGAUACAUACAUACAUACAUACACACACACACACACACAUAUACACGUUACAAGCAUACAAAUUUAUAAACUCUUGUAUCUUUAACAUCUAAUGAAAUGGAGGAACGGAAAGAUUAUAUUGGAUGUACUACAAAUCCGCGUACAAUCAAAGCACACAAAAUACAUGAUUACAAGCACCCACACGUACAAGAAAAGAAGACCAUUCACGCACACUGUGGCACAUAACAGACACAAGUAUGACUUAAAAGGGAAAAAAAAAAAAAAAAAAAAAAAAAAAACAAAGACAGCAACAUUUUCGAAAACACGUGCGCGCCAUCACAAUUGUUGAUAUAAAUUGCGAUCCAUGAUUAUUACUAUUUACGAUAUAAUUAUUAUCUUGCAUUGUCUAGUCAUACGUUAUUAUUGUAUAACUAACAAUAUUAAUUAUUAAUUAAUCUGUACUACCUAGUCGCAUUAUGUGUUGCAUAAAAAAAACUAUGAAAAUUCCGAAGGCGAAAUAAGAGAGAGAGAGAGAGAGAGAGAGAGAGAGAAUGGAAGUGUGAAAGAAAAAAAACGUAAAAGAGAGAAAGGGAGAGAGAGCGUAAAAGAAAACAAGAGAGCAAGAGAGAAAAGAGAGAAUGAGCGCGAGGGUGAAUGAUGUUAGAGAAAAGAUGAGAAAAGUUGGUAUUGGUGAAAUUUCAGUAAUUAUAUUAUGAAGAACGAUUAUGAUAAAUGACAGAUGAUCAAUUGAAGCGAUGAUUACGGUUGUGAUCGUAACCAAUGAUGAAUAAGGUAACAACGGUAGGCGCAAUAUGUUCCCAAAAAAGGAGAGAAAAAAAAAAACGAUUUAGAAUAUAAAGAGAAAGAGAGAGAAUGUGAGAAGAGAGAAAAAAAGAGAGAGAAAGAGAGAAUGAAACAAAGGCACUUUGUUGCAGCCGUGAUAACGCUCGUCGAUCGAGAAUAAAGAUCAAGUUUGACUAAUUGUGAUGAUAAUCUCGGACGAAGUUAUUUAUUUUGAGGAUAAGGAGAGAGCUAGUGAGAUAAAAACUUAAGGGUGCUUUGAAAUGUUUCACGUUAAACGCGAAUGUUUUUAAUCACGAUUUGAUGAUCGAUGAUGUUUAAGAAACGAUCAGUUGAUUCUUAGAAAGUAAAUUUUGAGAGCUACAUAUAAUUAAACACUUCGCGGGCAAGCAAGCGCUAAAUAUUGAAUAUAUACGUAUGACUAUAAAAGUACGAGAUUCGUAUCAUCUUGAAAAAUUAAUUUAAAGAACUGUCACCGAAGUGUUAUGUCAUAUCCGCCCAAAAACCCGUCAAUCCAAUCAGAAAGUAAUAUCGUCGUACAUGUUGAAAAAUUUGAGAAAUAAGUACUUUAAGAUACUUUCUGAACUCAUCGUUUCUUCGAUCGAUGAAUCAAAUGGAUAAAUAAUCGAUCAAAUCGGGCGAUCAUGGUUGCCGGAGGCCGCCUGCUUAGUUAAGGAACAGAAAGUGAAAAUGAUGAUGAUGACGAUGGUAAUGAUGAUGAAUUAAAAAAAAAAAGAAAAAAAAAAAGAAUAAUAACUGUCACGACACGCACGUGCGCGUCGCGCGCCAAAAUCGUGACGCGUCCGUGCGUACUGGUAGCAGAAAAAAGAACAAAACGAGUAUUAAAUAUAUGCGGGGGCCGUGGAGAGGAGGGAACCUUCCUUUACUCAAAAGAAAUUUCGGUGGAUUGUCUUGUCAAUUCACUGACUUUUCCCUGUUGCCAGGUAAG